RNAcentral lists this ribosomal RNA (366 nucleotides) under uncultured bacterium. RNAcentral's name for it is "bacterial SSU rRNA". It matches the Rfam family "Bacterial small subunit ribosomal RNA", at positions 28 to 396 of the family's 1533-position model. The record is from RNAcentral.
GACGAACGCUGGCGGCGUGCUUAACACAUGCAAGUCGAGCGGUAAGGCCCUUUCGGGGGUACACGAGCGGCGAACGGGUGAGUAACACGUGGGUGACCUGCCCUCAGCUCUGGGAUAAGCCUGGGAAACCGGGUCUAAUACUGGAUAUGACUCCAUGACGCAUGUUGUGGGGUGGAAAGCCUUGUGCGGCUGAGGAUGGGCCCGCGGCCUAUCAGCUUGUUGGUGGGGUGAGGCCUACCAAGGCGACGACGGGUAGCCGGCCUGAGAGGGCGACCGGCCACACUGGGACUGAGACACGGCCCAGACUCCUACGGGAGGCAGCAGUGGGGAAUCUUGCGCAAUGGGCGAAAGCCUGACGCAGCGACG